CCUACGGGUGGCAGCAGUCGAGAAUCAUUCACAAUGGGGGAAACCCUGAUGGUGCGACGCCGCGUGGGGGAAUGAAGGUCUUCGGAUUGUAAACCCCUGUCAUGUGGGAGCAAAUUAAAAAGAUAGUACCACAAGAGGAAGAGACGGCUAACUCUGUGCCAGCAGCCGCGGUAAUACAGAGGUCUCAAGCGUUGUUCGGAAUCACUGGGCGUAAGGCGUGCGUAGGCUGUUUCGUAAGUCGGGUGUGAAAGGCGCGGGCUCAACCCGCGGACGGCACAUGAUACUGCGAGACUAGAGUAAUGGAGGGGGAACCGGAAUGCUCGGUGUAGCAGUGAAAUGCGUAGAUAUCGAGAGGAACACUCGUGGCGAAGGCGGGUUCCUGGACAUUAACUGACGCUGAGGCACGAAGGCCAGGGGAGCGAAAGGGAUUAGAUACCCGGGUAGUC
RNAcentral lists this ribosomal RNA (446 nucleotides) under uncultured bacterium. RNAcentral's name for it is "partial 16S ribosomal RNA". It matches the Rfam family "Bacterial small subunit ribosomal RNA", at positions 338 to 795 of the family's 1533-position model. The record is from RNAcentral.